UGUAAAUUUUUCAGCACCUGUUUGUAACACAGAUUAGUAUUUCAAUCUCGGAGCGGACAUUUUAUUGUAGGUUUUUACUCAGAUUUACGGACCUAGCAAGCGAUUUUUACGGCAUUGCAAUUUCUUUUCUCCAGGAAAAGCUUUAAAAGAUAUCUGCAUCAAGUUUUUUUAUAAACUUUUAGUACAUGUAUGCCCUGCUGACUGCAAAUUUUGAGGUCGAUUGUACUCGUAGUUUCAGAGUACAUGUGGAUUUUUUUUUUCAGAAGUGACGCAAGAACAAUAUUUAAUUUCAAUUUUUCAUGAAACAUGAUUGCUUGAUCAUGAUUGCUUGAUUGCUUGAUUGCUUGAUUGCUUGCUUGCUUGAUUGAUUGAUUGAUUAGUUGGUUGGUUGGUUGGUUGGUUGAUUGAUUAAACACGUUGGAUAGGAUCAAUUGAAACAGCGAAAAAGAAACAAAGAAGAUCUUGAACCCUAUAAUAAACACAUGAGACGGAAACAUGAUUGAUUGAUCAUGAUCAUUAUUGGUUGAUUGAUCAUGAUCAUGAUUGGUUGAUUGAUCAUGAUCAUGAUUGAUUGAUUGAUUGAUUGAUUGAUUGGUUGGUUGGUUGGUUGGUUGGUUGGCAAACACAUAAAACUCUUCAAGUAGUGCCCCAAAUCACAUAUGUACAUGACCUUGACCUUUGACAUUGUGACCUUUGUCAAAGUCAUUGCUUCACAAUGUCAUUGCAAAAGACCUUAUGGGUCAAGGACAUUUGGUUAAAAGUUUUGCCUAAAAAUGGCUUUAUAUAAACCAUUAAUGGGGAUUAUGUCCCUUACACAAUGGUAAAAUCAAUACAGUCAUAAUGUAACAAAGUUGCCCCUUGGAGUACCAAGCA
This 873-nucleotide long non-coding RNA is filed under the name Mytilus galloprovincialis (Mediterranean mussel). The record is from RNAcentral. Lineage: Eukaryota; Metazoa; Mollusca; Bivalvia; Mytilida; Mytilidae.